GGGUUGUGAGGUUAAGCGACUAAGCGUACACGGUGGAUGCCCUGGCAGUCAGAGGCGAUGAAGGACGUGCUAAUCUGCGAUAAGCGCCGGUAAGGUGAUAUGAACCGUUAUAACCGGCGAUUUCCGAAUGGGGAAACCCAGUGUGACUCGUCACACUAUCAUUAACUGAAUCCAUAGGUUAAUGAGGCGAACCGGGGGAACUGAAACAUCUAAGUACCCCGAGGAAAAGAAAUCAACCGAGAUUCCCCCAGUAGCGGCGAGCGAACGGGGAGGAGCCCAGAGCCUGAAUCAGCAUGUGUGUUAGUGGAAGCGUCUGGAAAGGCGCGCGAUACAGGGUGACAGCCCCGUACACAAAAGCGCAUGUGCUGUGAGCUCGAUGAGUAGGGCGGGACACGUGGUAUCCUGUCUGAAUAUGGGGGGACCAUCCUCCAAGGCUAAAUACUCCUGACUGACCGAUAGUGAACCAGUACCGUGAGGGAAAGGCGAAAAGAACCCCGGCGAGGGGAGUGAAAAAGAACCUGAAACCGUGUACGUACAAGCAGUGGGAGCNNGGGCGUUAAGUUGCAGGGUAUAGACCCGAAACCCGGUGAUCUAGCCAUGGGCAGGUUGAAGGUUGGGUAACACUAACUGGAGGACCGAACCGACUAAUGUUGAAAAAUUAGCGGAUGACCUGUGGCUGGGGGUGAAAGGCCAAUCAAACCGGGAGAUAGCUGGUUCUCCCCGAAAGCUAUUUAGGUAGCGCCUCGUGAAUUCAUCUCCGGGGGUAGAGCACUGUUUCGGCUAGGGGGCCAUCCCGGCUUACCAACCCGAUGCAAACUGCGAAUACCGGAGAAUGUUAUCACGGGAGACACACGGCGGGUGCUAACGUCCGUCGUGAAGAGGGAAACAACCCAGACCGCCAGCUAAGGUCCCAAAGUCAUGGUUAAGUGGGAAACGAUGUGGGAAGGCCCAGACAGCCAGGAUGUUGGCUUAGAAGCAGCCAUCAUUUAAAGAAAGCGUAAUAGCUCACUGGUCGAGUCGGCCUGCGCGGAAGAUGUAACGGGGCUAAACCAUGCACCGAAGCUGCGGCAGCGANNUGCUGGAGGUAUCAGAAGUGCGAAUGCUGACAUAAGUAACGAUAAAGCGGGUGAAAAGCCCGCUCGCCGGAAGACCAAGGGUUCCUGUCCAACGUUAAUCGGGGCAGGGUGAGUCGACCCCUAAGGCGAGGCCGAAAGGCGUAGUCGAUGGGAAACGGGUUAAUAUUCCCGUACUUGGUGUUACUGCGAAGGGGGGACGGAGAAGGCUAUGUUGGCCGGGCGACGGUUGUCCCGGUUUAAGCGUGUAGGUGUGUGUUCCAGGUAAAUCCGGUUCACUUUAACACUGAGGCGUGACGACGAGGCACUACGGUGCUGAAGCAACAAAUGCCCUGCUUCCAGGAAAAGCCUCUAAGCAUCAGGUAACAUCAAAUCGUACCCCAAACCGACACAGGUGGUCAGGUAGAGAAUACCAAGGCGCUUGAGAGAACUCGGGUGAAGGAACUAGGCAAAAUGGUGCCGUAACUUCGGGAGAAGGCACGCUGACAUGUAGGUGAAGUGAUUUACUCAUGGAGCUGAAGUCAGUCGAAGAUACCAGCUGGCUGCAACUGUUUAUUAAAAACACAGCACUGUGCAAACACGAAAGUGGACGUAUACGGUGUGACGCCUGCCCGGUGCCGGAAGGUUAAUUGAUGGGGUCAGCGCAAGCGAAGCUCCUGAUCGAAGCCCCGGUAAACGGCGGCCGUAACUAUAACGGUCCUAAGGUAGCGAAAUUCCUUGUCGGGUAAGUUCCGACCUGCACGAAUGGCGUAAUGAUGGCCAGGCUGUCUCCACCCGAGACUCAGUGAAAUUGAACUCGCUGUGAAGAUGCAGUGUACCCGCGGCAAGACGGAAAGACCCCGUGAACCUUUACUAUAGCUUGACACUGAACAUUGAGCCUUGAUGUGUAGGAUAGGUGGGAGGCUUUGAAGUGUGGACGCCAGUCUGCAUGGAGCCGACCUUGAAAUACCACCCUUUAAUGUUUGAUGUUCUAACGUGGACCCGUUAUCCGGGUUGCGGACAGUGUCUGGUGGGUAGUUUGACUGGGGCGGUCUCCUCCUAAAGAGUAACGGAGGAGCACGAAGGUUGGCUAAUCCUGGUCGGACAUCAGGAGGUUAGUGCAAUGGCAUAAGCCAGCUUGACUGCGAGCGUGACGGCGCGAGCAGGUGCGAAAGCAGGUCAUAGUGAUCCGGUGGUUCUGAAUGGAAGGGCCAUCGCUCAACGGAUAAAAGGUACUCCGGGGAUAACAGGCUGAUACCGCCCAAGAGUUCAUAUCGACGGCGGUGUUUGGCACCUCGAUGUCGGCUCAUCACAUCCUGGGGCUGAAGUAGGUCCCAAGGGUAUGGCUGUUCGCCAUUUAAAGUGGUACGCGAGCUGGGUUUAGAACGUCGUGAGACAGUUCGGUCCCUAUCUGCCGUGGGCGCUGGAGAACUGAGGGGGGCUGCUCCUAGUACGAGAGGACCGGAGUGGACGCAUCACUGGU
RNAcentral lists this ribosomal RNA (2535 nucleotides) under Salmonella enterica subsp. enterica serovar Tennessee. RNAcentral's name for it is "bacterial LSU rRNA". It matches the Rfam family "Bacterial large subunit ribosomal RNA". Lineage: Bacteria; Pseudomonadati; Pseudomonadota; Gammaproteobacteria; Enterobacterales; Enterobacteriaceae. The record is from RNAcentral.